This is a long non-coding RNA of Triticum aestivum (bread wheat), 1640 nucleotides long. RefSeq lists it as uncharacterized. The record is from RefSeq and is a predicted model, not a curated record. NCBI's taxonomy places the organism in Eukaryota, Viridiplantae, Streptophyta, Magnoliopsida, Poales, Poaceae. The transcript has 7 exons.
AAGGGAAAAAAGCCCACAGCACCGCGCCGCGCGUGGGGGUGCAGCGCACCAGGCGAGCGGAAAAAUGACCGCACCGCGCAGGGUAGAAAACGGCAUCUAACCCUAGCCCCGAUCCACAGCCCCACGCCCCUCGCUCCUCCCUCCCUCGUCCGCCGCCACUCCCUCCCACCUCCUCCUCCUGCGCCCUAGGAGCCCCGCCGCCGACUGCUACUUCUCCACCGCCUCGCCUCUUCCUCCUCCUCGCCUUCCCAUCGCUCGGGCGCAGGCUGCUGUGGCCAAGCGCUUCGCGGGCGAACCCGUCUCUACCGCCUGCUCUGGGUUCGCGCGGGACGGGCUCCCCCGCGUGGCCGGCCUCGACGAGCACGACCUCGAUCCGGCCUCAGCCGGAGGACCUCGAGCCGAGGAGUGCGGCCUCGAUCGGGACUCGGCAUGUGGGGUGACGGCGGAGGAGGGGAAAGGAGGGGAGCAGCAACCAACAUCUUGGGCGGCGGUGGCUGGACUCCAUGAGCUGGCCGGCGACGGUGGCGGUGCUGGAUUCGAUCUGCAGGUGAGAGAGGGAGGUGUGGCUUCGAAUUGGAGAGGGACUCCACCGGCGUCGGCCCGCGCGAGGAUUGGUGCCGCUCUCCUCGUAGGCCCUCGCUUCAGGUCGCCGAGGAGGGGCUGUAGCCGAGUCUGCAUAGUUGAGGGUAGGGAGGGCUGAGGUGGGAGGGGAAGGAGAUGGUCAUGGAUCUACUCGAGAAGGUGAGAGGACGAAGACAGAGGGGGUGCUCGAGGUGGUCAAGGCGGAGCAGCAGAGGACGGCUCGUCCACGAGCUCAAGUUUAAGGCGGACGGCGGCCUCAACGGGUGGGUGACGACAUCUACACCUGGUUCCACCUUGCUGUGGCAAAAUAGGAGGCCAUUCAUGCAGUCAUGCAGCGGAUGGAGUCCUCGGCAGGUGGGUGAUGGAGGCUGUAGAUGAUGCACGAUGACGGCUCCCAGCGAGGUUCUAUUAAAUGUGAACAUGUUUGCGUCAAGGCUUUGUUGAUGGUUGAAGAAGAAAUCAAGGUCGCCAAAACUCGGGUGCUGCUGAAUUGCUAGAUUACUCCACUGCAAAAAACGCUGGACAGUGGCAAGAAGGAAGAGCUCGGGCCACCCGCGAUGCCAGGCCGCCGGCCCUCCUCCCUCAAGCUCAAGGCGGCGAAGAGAUGGUUGAGAUGGUGUUGCAGCUCCGCAGAUAUCAUACCCAUUCUGCAUAGAUCAUGCUUGAUGUACAAUGAUCUUUGAUAACACCAAAUUAUACAAGUUGGAGAGGAAACUGAAAGUGCAUCUGCUGAGGAUCCAAAGAACAUGCUUCCUGACCCCUCUAAGACCAAAAGAACAGGCAAUGCCGCCAAGGGAGUUGGCGCACCAAAGAAAGCGAGGCAGUAGUUCUUCCAUGGAGCACUUCUUCCAUGCCGUUAUCUAGAUAUGUACAUACGGUAUCUUCUAUAUUCUGCUUGCUUAUCAAGCGAAGUCUACGCUGGAAGGGUAUCAUGCUGACCAUUUAAUUGAAUUUCUCUUACAGAAACCAAUAUUAAUUUAUUCAGAGAACAUCCUUAUUUUUAUUUGUGAGAUAAUUAAUAAAGAUGUUUAUCUUUCCGAGCGACAUCGGACAUCCUA